This 66-nucleotide transfer RNA is filed under the name Oribacterium sinus. It matches the Rfam family "tRNA", at positions 5 to 66 of the family's 71-position model. From Rfam's summary of the family: Transfer RNA (tRNA) molecules are approximately 80 nucleotides in length. The record is from RNAcentral. RNAcentral also lists the same sequence under 1 other name. Lineage: Bacteria; Bacillati; Bacillota; Clostridia; Lachnospirales; Lachnospiraceae.
CAAUGGCUCAGUUGGUUAGAGCGCUGCCCUGUCACGGCAGAGGUCGCGGGUUCGAGUCCCGCUUGG